This is a long non-coding RNA of Paramisgurnus dabryanus, 823 nucleotides long. RefSeq lists it as uncharacterized. The record is from RefSeq and is a predicted model, not a curated record. Lineage: Eukaryota; Metazoa; Chordata; Actinopteri; Cypriniformes; Cobitidae.
GCUCACAUAACACACGUCUUUUCUGCCAAUCUAAUGUUUAUCUUGGUUACCUGUAGAGAAGUAUUUCAUUCUUCAUAUGUCCAAAAAGUAUUUUGUGUUGUCAUAUUUAUAAAAGAAAAAACAGCAUUUCCGAUUUUUGUCGGGAAAACACGAACACUUGAGGGCGUGCGGUGGACACUUGAGGGCGUGCGGUGGGCGGAGCUAAAGAGUUACGAGCACGCGCAGCCUUUGGAUUGUAAUCCGACAGCUGUGAGAUCGUGCGAAAUCAAACUUGAACUUGUUAAAUAACUAUGGCUUAUAGUCAGAUACAGCCUUACAUUUAUGAUCCAGAAUCGGAUGCAGAGACAGUAAAUGACCAACAGGAACAACAGCAGCAACGAUUACAACAGGACGUUUCUAUCUGGUAAUUAGUCAUUGUUUGUUUACCCGCUGUUUGUUUGUUUGUUUUUAAUACGACGUAAAACUUGAUGUUUUUUCUGCAUUUGUCUGUUUAAAAGGUGUAAAUGUCAUAGGUGCAGUACAAUGCCAACUGAGGCAGAAAAUGUUUGCUGCCAAGAAAUACAACAGUGUAUGACAGAACAUCCAGGACUGGAGGCCAACUGCCUGAAUGUUUAUACACUUCAAAACAUAAACAACAUUUACAGAGCAGACUAUGGACCACUUAGGAGGAGAACAGAGGAGGAGCGUUUUAGGUAUCUUGCCUAUCGCAGUUUUGUUAGCUGGUGCUGGGGAUAUCUUGGCAGACAUGUGCGCGUGGUCAUUCCUGCAUGUGUUGUCCUGCGGAUUCGUCAGGAGUUUCCUGAUGCUGGAGGGAACUACACUG